Numida meleagris (helmeted guineafowl) is the source of this 1193-nucleotide long non-coding RNA. RefSeq lists it as uncharacterized. The record is from RefSeq and is a predicted model, not a curated record. Lineage: Eukaryota; Metazoa; Chordata; Aves; Galliformes; Numididae. The transcript has 3 exons.
GAAUGUCUCUCUUAUCCCCUGCUAGGUGCUCUUCACCUGGGGCUCCCACAGAUCAUGUAUCCAAACCUACUCCCAGGAAAUCUAUCUAUAAGCCAAGCAAAUAAACCAACUUCUGAUCCUCUAAAUCAUUCAACAUGUGUUGCACUACUGGGGUAUCUGGCUGACAAAAACCAUUAGAAAGUGAGUGAGUGACAGCUAGCCCAGGGUGCUGCUUGUGCACAUCUACUGAGGAAUGGGAAUGCUUAGCAGAACAGUGGAGCAGACGGAAUGAAGAGCCCCAGACAAACACACUAUAGCCUGAUAGAGCAUCUUCUACAAUCAGAUGUUGAUAUGAUCAAAUGCUGACUACAGCAUGCUGCAGCCCAGAACGGAACCAAACACUUUGGAGAAAUCCAGAUCAGAACUUUGCAGUCAGCCUUCCUGCAAACCUAAUCACAAACAGCAAAACACUGUAAAUAAUACCGAGUCAAUACAGAAUCCUACAUGCAAUUCAAGGUUUGGAGGACAUUGCAAACUCUGCUGAUGGCUUCUUGCAAAGGCCUGAACCAACCUUCUUCAACUUAAAGCAACAGGGCUCUGCGAAAGUCCUGAAGCCAGAUACAGAAAAGGGAAUCUUUUUAAAGUGCUGGCAGGGAAUAGUUGUGAUGUCAUAGAUACUAUGUGCUGCACUAAAUUGUUUUGCAUGUCACACAUCUACAGAAAAGAAGACACAUCACGUGCCAGUGUCUAAUGAAGAUGAUGUCUUAAAAGCAGGGAUAUGGGUAUCAGUUCAAAAGUGUCCUUGUAUUCUUGAGCAAAACUGGCAGAGAUUAAUUUGUACAACCAAGCAAGGACAUUUUUGUCAACUGAGAAUAAUAAAUGUGAGACUCAUGGAAGAGAAAUAUGACAGAACACCGCAAGCCUCUCAGAUGUCUUCUAUAAAUAAGAUGUAGCCAGGAGAUAUUUUCAGGUGUUUUCAGCAGUCUUACAGAUACGGAUGUAUCUCACCAAUUCUACUUGGGACAAGGCUCAACAGACGAGAGAAGUUUAUUGUAAGGAAAUGAUUUAAAAUAUAAAGCCAAAAUCUUCCGUCUUACUUUUUUCCAAAAAGACAUCUUAAAGUUCAGUGAAGCAUUAAGUCACAUGUAUGAAUUUUUAAGCAUUCUGUUGAGGUAAUGCAUUUCUGAUUAUGGAAGUAUGGAAGAGAAACAUGA